RNAcentral lists this ribosomal RNA (419 nucleotides) under bacterium. Its description in RNAcentral is "partial 16S ribosomal RNA". It matches the Rfam family "Bacterial small subunit ribosomal RNA", at positions 355 to 776 of the family's 1533-position model. The record is from RNAcentral.
UGGGGGAUAUUGCACAAUGGGCGAAAGCCUGAUGCAGCGACGCCGCGUGGGGGAUGAAGGCCUUCGGGUUGUAAACUUCUUUUGCUCUGAACAAGGCGCACCAUGGGGUGUGUUGAGUGUAGGGGUUGAUUAGCGCCGGCUAACUACGUGCCAUCAGCCGCGGUAAUACGUCGGGCGCGAGCGUUGUCCGGAAUUAUUGGGCGUAAAGGGCUUGUAGGUGGCUGGUUGCGUCUGUCGUGAAAGCUCAUGGCUUAACUGUGGGUUUGCGGUGGGUACGGGCUGGCUUGAGUGCAGUAGGGGAGGCUGGAAUUCCUGGUGUAGCGGUGGAAUGCGCAGAUAUCAGGAGGAAUACCGGUGGCGAAGGCGGGUCUCUGGGCUGUUACUGACACUGAGGAGCGAAAGAAUGGGGAGCGAACAGG